AAAAAACGUCCCAACUUUUCCGGAAUUCGGGUUGUAAUAUAAUUAUAGGCUUGUACAUAUCGACAGUGUACAGAUGCUUGAUGGAUUUUGCCUUUCGUGUAUACUUAGGUCAACCAUGAGUUAUUCGCCUUGUGGAACAUCAAACAUGUGGUCACGCUCAUUGCGCGAAAAAUGUCUCGAGCGAUGGAGAAGGCCAGAGAGAACGCCGUCAAGGCAAGGGACGAGGCUGAGACGGCAAAGAACAGUUCGAAGGAAAAGACGGAGGUGCAUGCAUCACAGGCUGACGUACAGGGAUCGCAGACCGAAAAAGCACCACUCCUGCCGAGGACGGGAAAAGAUCACCCUGAAGCCAAAGAAGGUGGACGAGGAGGAGACUCACCAUGAGAUGUGUGACGGAAUGAACGGGACAAGGAAGACUUGAGUUUAGCUUAGUUUAAUAAAGUGUGCAUGAUUGUGAAAAAAGAAAAACUUGUGGUCUCAAGUGCCUACCACCCACAAUCAAACGGGCAGGUAAACCUGGCUGUAUGUUAUUGAAAUUGUGUCAGUAGGAAUUAUAUAGAGCAUGUGUGAAAUAUGUUCAAAAUAUUACACAGGAUGAACGCACCAAUCAAACUGUGAAAGCUGCACUCCGUCGGUAUGUGAAUGGCCAUCAGGACGACUGGGACCUGCACCUACAGCCAGUGGUUUAUGGCAUCAACACCGCCAAACAGGUCUGUGUGUUUUGUACGCCAGCACUUUGUAUGUUCAGCCUUACAUUUGGAACUUGGGUUGGUGGCCAAGUUGACAAACGGCAUUUUCACAGUUCCACACCUAUUUACUUUUCUUUUUGCUGCAGGCUUCAACAAAUUACACACCAUUUGAGUGUUUCUUUUUGCGCAAACCUGGGCAACCAGGGGUCAUAAAUCAGUGCCCCAUGGGCGAUGACUUCGAAGUUCGUGACCCAGAGGAACAUUUGUAACAAAAAAUGAAUGACUCUAUUGAGCUAAACAAAAAGGUUAAGCAUGAGACAAACACUUUUUUGAAUGGAGAUACCAUACCAGAUGUAUGUAACAUAUUACAUGUAACUAUAGCUUUUUUUGUUGUUUGGUAGGUUCUCACCAACAUUGAGAAG
Molecule: long non-coding RNA, 1111 nt
Organism: Clupea harengus (Atlantic herring)
Lineage: Eukaryota; Metazoa; Chordata; Actinopteri; Clupeiformes; Clupeidae
Source: Ensembl